GUCAAGCUUGUUUACCAAUAAGGAGAGGCACAGGUAUGGGACACUUCUGAAGGGUUUGUUUGCCUUCAAACAAACAGCAGACAUCUCCAGGCUUUGUUUUCCACGGCAGAGAUGGCUAAACUCUCUUUUUGGUCCCAGGGGGUGGAGUUGGCUCGCUCUACACGCUGCUUCUCACCCGAGGAUAUCAGUGGAAAAGCCCCAGUCCUGGGCACAGGCAUGGCUGUGGACAUGGGCAUGAGCUUUAUGGGGCUGCCACUAGCUGGCCAGAAACACUGCCCUAAGAAUGGACAGAUGGAGGCCGUGGUCAUGACCUGCUCAUUGUGCUGUCAGGACCUGCCAGGUGUGGGCUCUUAUCUCCUAUCCUGCCAGCAUUUGCUCUGUAAGGACUGCUUCCAGGGCUUGAUACAGGAUCUAGGGCAGAUUGCCAAGGCUCAUGAGACUGUUGCAGAUGGUAAGUACAAAGGCACCACAGGUUCACCUCCCACUACAUAACAGGUCUCUUCCUGUUUCAUAGGAACUGAAUUUCGGGCGUAGAAAGAAUCAGAAUUUAAAUGCCCAAGGGACGCUCAUUGCUGAAAGCAAUCUUUGGGGGAAUCUGUGAGACAGAGUGAAUCCUCUUGAUGCCUAAUAUAUCUGUUUUGUAAGCUGGAA
Molecule: long non-coding RNA, 651 nt
Organism: Nomascus leucogenys (northern white-cheeked gibbon)
Lineage: Eukaryota; Metazoa; Chordata; Mammalia; Primates; Hylobatidae
Exons: 2
Source: RefSeq, a predicted model, not a curated record